CCGCCCCCCCCUAAACCUUACAAUGCACGUCGAGCGGGGGAAGGUAGCUUGCUACCGGACCUAGCGGCGGACGGGUGAGUAAUGCUUAGGAAUCUGCCUAUUAGUGGGGGACAACAUCUCGAAAGGGAUGCUAAUACCGCAUACGUCCUACGGGAGAAAGCAGGGGAUCUUCGGACCUUGCGCUAAUAGAUGAGCCUAAGUCGGAUUAGCUAGUUGGUGGGGUAAAGGCCUACCAAGGCGACGAUCUGUAGCGGGUCUGAGAGGAUGAUCCGCCACACUGGGACUGAGACACGGCCCAGACUCCUACGGGAGGCAGCAGUGGGGAAUAUUGGACAAUGGGGGGAACCCUGAUCCAGCCAUGCCGCGUGUGUGAAGAAGGCCUUAUGGUUGUAAAGCACUUUAAGCGAGGAGGAGGCUACUUUAGUUAAUACCUAGAGAUAGUGGACGUUACUCGCAGAAUAAGCACCGGCUAACUCUGUGCCAGCAGCCGCGGUAAUACAGAGGGUGCGAGCGUUAAUCGGAUUUACUGGGCGUAAAGCGUGCGUAGGCGGCUUAUUAAGUCGGAUGUGAAAUCCCCGAGCUUAACUUGGGAAUUGCAUUCGAUACUGGUGAGCUAGAGUAUGGGAGAGGAUGGUAGAAUUCCAGGUGUAGCGGUGAAAUGCGUAGAGAUCUGGAGGAAUACCGAUGGCGAAGGCAGCCAUCUGGCCUAAUACUGACGCUGAGGUACGAAAGCAUGGGGAGCAAACAGGAUUAGAUACCCUGGUAGUCCAUGCCGUAAACGAUGUCUACUAGCCGUUGGGGCCUUUGAGGCUUUAGUGGCGCAGCUAACGCGAUAAGUAGACCGCCUGGGGAGUACGGUCGCAAGACUAAACUCAAAAUGAAUUGACGGGGCCCGCACAAGCGGUGGAGCAUGUGGUUUAAUUCGAUGCAACGCGAAGAACCUUACCUGGCCUUGACAUACUAGAAACUUUCAGAGAUGGAUUGUGCCUUCGGAUCUAGAUACAGUGCUGCAUGGCUGUCGUCAGCUCGUGUCGUGAGAUGUUGGGUAAGUCCCGCACGAGCGCACCCUUUUCUACUGCAGCAUUUCGAUGGUACUUUAGAUACUGCAGUGACAACUGGAGAGCGGGACGACGUCAGUCAUCAUGCCUUACGGCAGCUACCACUGCUACAAUGUCGGUACAAGGGUGCUACCACGCGAUGUGAUGCUAUCUCAAAGGAUCGAAUCGUAUGAUCGCACUCACUCAUGAUCGAAUCCUAUUAUCCGGAUCAAAGUGUGCCGCGCGUAGU
Molecule: ribosomal RNA, 1287 nt
Filed under: Acinetobacter baumannii
Lineage: Bacteria; Pseudomonadati; Pseudomonadota; Gammaproteobacteria; Moraxellales; Moraxellaceae
Description: partial 16S ribosomal RNA
Rfam family: Bacterial small subunit ribosomal RNA
Source: RNAcentral